This 98-nucleotide transfer RNA is filed under the name Amanita muscaria Koide BX008. It matches the Rfam family "tRNA". Rfam says of the family: Transfer RNA (tRNA) molecules are approximately 80 nucleotides in length. Their secondary structure includes four short double-helical elements and three loops (D, anti-codon, and T loops). Lineage: Eukaryota; Fungi; Basidiomycota; Agaricomycetes; Agaricales; Amanitaceae. The record is from Rfam by way of RNAcentral.
GCUGGAAUGGCCGAGUCGUUAAGGCGAGUGAUUUGAACUGGCAUUGCCACCUCAUCACUUGGUGUUUCACCGCGUAGGUUCAAAUCCUGCUUCCAGCG